This 97-nucleotide unclassified non-coding RNA is filed under the name Nannocystis exedens. The record is from RNAcentral. Lineage: Bacteria; Pseudomonadati; Myxococcota; Nannocystales; Nannocystaceae.
GUAAGCCGUGUGCGGGAGAUCGGCACGCACGGUUUGAACGGGGGUCCUGUCAAUCUCCGCGCGGGAGACCGCGCUUGAUAAGAAAGGAUCUACCAAU